CACAAACACAACUAGACCAACAAUAAAAUAAUAUUUUUUAAUGAUGCGACUUUCAAAUCGACGAUCGGCUCCAUUAGAUUUUAUCUACACUAUUGAAAGUAUUUGGAAACUAAAUUUCAUAAUUUUUCAAUAUCAUCCGACUAGUGAUCAAAAGAUUUCAAAAUCGACAAUUUUAAUAGUCGAUACGAUGCGUUUGUGAAUUUAACAGUGUAAAACAAUCCAAAUCUGAUGAAAUUUUUAUAAAAAAUUCUUUUCACUAUUUAGAGUAAGAUCAAUACCUUUGAUCUUAAAUUCAAGUCUUUUAUCACCAUUUUUUAUGAUAAUUUUAUUUUUAGCCGUUCAUUUUUAGACUACUCGUUUGAUAGGUAAAUGAUGUUGAAAAAUUAUGAAAUUUAGUUUUCAAAUACUUUCAAUAGUGUAGAUCAACUCUAAAGGAGCCGCUUGUUGAUUUGGAAGCUACAUCAUUGAAAACAAUUUGGUAGCACAGAGGCCUCCGUGCUACCGAUAGUAUACCAGUCUAGCUCUCUCUCUCUCUCUCUCUCUCUCUCUCUCUCUCUAUAUAUAUAUAUAUAUUAAAUAUAUAUAUAUAUAUAUAUAUAGUAAAUAUUUUUUAAAUUUAUUUCAAAUCGGGAUGCAAACGGCCGGAUCUGGUGGCGGGAGGGUUCCCCUACCUCCCGCUCCGUUUCUUGUCGGGCGGAGCGGAUUCAGGGCGGGUUAUUUUUCAUUUUAUUUUUGGCUCCCACUUACCGUCUCAUUCGAGGGUGUAUUGAAGGAAGAAAAUGGUCUAUUUUUUAACAGAUUAAUUAUAACCAUUCGUUCUUAUUUGAGAUUUUUUUAAUUAAGUGAACAGUACAUUUUUCAUUGAUACAAUCGUUUAUUGGAUUUAUAGAUGGAUAAAAAUAUUAUUUUUUUAACAGAUUAAUCAUAACCAUUCAUUUUUAUUUGAGAUUUUUUUAAUUAAGUGAUUAUAUCCUGUCGUAGGAAAUAUAGGGAAUAUAUAUAUAUAUAUUUUUUGGAUUCUUUUAUAGAUGGAUAAGAAUGUUAUUUUUUAACAGAUUAAUCAUAACCGUUUUUUCUUAUUUGAGAUUUUUUUAAUUAACUGAUCAUAUCCGUACGUAGAAAAUAUAGGAAAUAUUCUUUUAUUCUUUUUGGAUUCCGUCUAUCAUUAUCGGAAUUUCUAAACGCUUUUAUAUACUCUAUAUAGAUAUAGAGUAGGGCUACUAUACUCUUAUUAGUAUAGAAGCCUUCGUACUCAUAAGUUAUUUUCGAUGAUAGAGCUUCCGAAUCGACGAUCUACUGAGUUAAAUAUGAUAUAGAGUAUUUGAGACUUCUAGAAAAUAAAUUUUAAAAUUUUCAAAAUCAUAAUAAAGUCCAUCAAGCGGGCAUAAAAUGAACGGUCAAAAUCGAAUGACGUCCUAAAAAUGAAUGAUCGGAUCCUUUAAUUUAAGAUCGGAGUUAUUGAUAUUUAUCUAGGUAGUGAAUAGAAAUUUCUAUAAAAAAUUUAAUCAAUUCCAAUUUUUUUAUACCGUUAAACUAGCAAGUAUUCCAUACUGGUCGUUAAAAAUUGUCAAUUUUGUGACAUUUUGAUCGUAAGGUAAAUGAUGUCGAAAAAUUACAAAAUUUAAUUUCUAGAAGUUUUAAAUUAUGUAGAUAACGUUUAACGGUAUGGAUCGUCGAUUCGGAAGCUCUAUCAUCAAAAACGACUUAUGAGUACGGGACGAUCGUACUUUUAAAAGUAUAGUAGCCGGAAUAU
RNAcentral lists this long non-coding RNA (1753 nucleotides) under Ananas comosus (pineapple). RNAcentral's name for it is "long non-coding RNA (ACOM_LNC042735)". The record is from RNAcentral. Lineage: Eukaryota; Viridiplantae; Streptophyta; Magnoliopsida; Poales; Bromeliaceae.